Molecule: ribosomal RNA, 503 nt
Filed under: uncultured bacterium
Lineage: Bacteria
Description: partial 16S ribosomal RNA
Rfam family: Bacterial small subunit ribosomal RNA
Source: RNAcentral
AUUGAACGCUGGCGGCAUGCCUAACACAUGCAAGUCGAACGCGAAAGAGGGGCAACUCUCGAGUAGAGUGGCGGACGGGUGGGUAAUACGUAGGAAUCUGCCCUAGAGUGGGGGAUAACCUGUCGAAAGACGGGCUAAUACCGCAUAAUCUCUAUGGAGCAAAGGUGUCUUGUAGCAAUACAAGGUUUCGCUCUAGGAUGAGCCUACGUCGGAUUAGCUAGUUGGUAGGGUAAUGGCCUACCAAGGCAACGAUCCGUAGCUGGUCUGAGAGGACGAUCAGCCACACUGGAACUGAGACACGGUCCAGACUCCUGCGGGAGGCAGCAGUGGGGAAUAUUGGACAAUGGGGGAAACCCUGAUCCAGCAAUGCCGCGUGUGCGAUGAAGGCCUGCGGGUUGUAAAGCACUUUCGGUGGGGAAGAAAUACUCAAAGAUAAUACCUUUGAGUGCUGACGUUACCCAUAGAAGAAGCACCGGCAAACUCUGUGCCAGCCGCCGCGGUAA